AACAAAAAUAUUGCAUAUAAAACAAUCCUGAAUAGGAAGAAGCAGUAUGCUGCUUACAUAUAAAACAAUCCUGAACGAGGAAGUAGAAGCAUGCUGCUUCCUCCUAUUCAGGAUUGUUUUAAAUGCAAUUUU
Non-coding RNA from Pelobates cultripes (western spadefoot toad), 132 nucleotides. The record is from the annotation of a GenBank genome assembly. Lineage: Eukaryota; Metazoa; Chordata; Amphibia; Anura; Pelobatidae.